GGGCCCGUAGCUCAGUUGGCUAGAGCAUCUGACUUUUAAUCAGGAGGUCUUGGGUUCGAUUCCCAACGGGCUCACCA
Molecule: transfer RNA, 77 nt
Filed under: Gemmatimonadaceae bacterium
Lineage: Bacteria; Pseudomonadati; Gemmatimonadota; Gemmatimonadia; Gemmatimonadales; Gemmatimonadaceae
Also listed under: 1 other name
Description: tRNA-Lys
Rfam family: tRNA
About the family: Transfer RNA (tRNA) molecules are approximately 80 nucleotides in length.
Source: RNAcentral